This 497-nucleotide ribosomal RNA is filed under the name uncultured bacterium. Its description in RNAcentral is "partial 16S ribosomal RNA". It matches the Rfam family "Bacterial small subunit ribosomal RNA", at positions 28 to 507 of the family's 1533-position model. The record is from RNAcentral.
GAUGAACGCUGGUGGCGUGCCUAAUACAUGCAAGUCGAGCGAACAGAUGAGGAGCUUGCUCCUCUGACGUUAGCGGCGGACGGGUGAGUAACACGUGGAUAACCUACCUAUAAGACUGGGAUAACUUCGGGAAACCGGAGCUAAUACCGGAUAAUAUAUUGAACCGCAUGGUUCAAUAGUGAAAGACGGUUUUGCUGUCACUUAUAGAUGGAUCCGCGCCGCAUUAGCUAGUUGGUAAGGUAACGGCUUACCAAGGCAACGAUGCGUAGCCGACCUGAGAGGGUGAUCGGCCACACUGGAACCGAGACACGGUCCAGACUCCUACGGGAGGCAGCAGUAGGGAAUCUUCCGCAAUGGGCGAAAGCCUGACGGAGCAACGCCGCGUGAGUGAUGAAGGUCUUCGGAUCGUAAAACUCUGUUAUUAGGGAAGAACAAAUGUGUAAGUAACUAUGCACGUCUUGACGGUACCUAAUCAGAAAGCCACGGCUAACUACGUG